CAGUCGCCACGGGAAAACGUAGGUGGCAAGCGUUGUCCGGAAUUAUUGGGCGUAAAGCGCGCGCAGGCGGAUCAGUUAGUCUGUCUUAAAAGUUCGGGGCUUAACCCCGUGAUGGGAUGGAAACUGCUGAUCUAGAGUAUCGGAGAGGAAAGUGGAAUUCCUAGUGUAGCGGUGAAAUGCGUAGAUAUUAGGAAGAACACCAGUGGCGAAGGCGACUUUCUGGACGAAAACUGACGCUGAGGCGCGAAAGCCAGGGGAGCGAACGGGAUUAGAUACCCGUGUAGUCCCUGUCUCUUAUACA
RNAcentral lists this ribosomal RNA (301 nucleotides) under uncultured bacterium. RNAcentral describes it as "partial 16S ribosomal RNA". It matches the Rfam family "Bacterial small subunit ribosomal RNA", at positions 509 to 809 of the family's 1533-position model. The record is from RNAcentral.